UAUUCUUAGAAUGGUAUAAAAUGGGCCCUCUAAAUGAUACAGAGAAGAUUAGCAUGCCCCGGAACAAGGAUGACACACAAAUGCAUGAAGCUUUCCAAUAAGAA
Molecule: small nuclear RNA, 104 nt
Organism: Jaculus jaculus (lesser Egyptian jerboa)
Lineage: Eukaryota; Metazoa; Chordata; Mammalia; Rodentia; Dipodidae
Source: RefSeq, a predicted model, not a curated record